AUACGGCCACAUCACGUUGAAGCACCGGUUUCCGUACUAUCACCGAAGUUAAGCAACGUCGAGCCAAGUCAGUACCGAGACCGCUGCCCGUUUGGGAAUGGCAGGUGUGGUAAG
Molecule: non-coding RNA, 114 nt
Organism: Acanthosepion pharaonis
Lineage: Eukaryota; Metazoa; Mollusca; Cephalopoda; Sepiida; Sepiidae
Source: the annotation of a GenBank genome assembly